UAAUACAGAGGUGGCGAGCGUUAUUCGGAAUUAUUGGGCGUAAAGGGCGCGUAGGCGGCUAGGCAAGUCCUGGGUGAAAUCCCUCGGCUCAACCGAGGAACUGCCUUGGAAACUGCCUGGCUCGAGGCCGGGAGAGGGUAGCGGAAUUCCCAGUGUAGCGGUGAAAUGCGUAGAUACUGGGAGGAACACCAGUGGCGAAGGCGGCUACCUGGACCGGUUCUGACGCUGAUGCGCGAAAGCGUGGGGAGCAAACAGGAUUAGAUACCCUGGUAGUCCACGCUGUAAACGAUGGGUGCUCGGUGUCGCGGGUAUCGACCCCUGCGGUGCCUUAGCUAACGCGUUAAGCACCCCGCCUGGGGAGUACGGUCGCAAGGCUG
Molecule: ribosomal RNA, 377 nt
Filed under: uncultured bacterium
Lineage: Bacteria
Description: bacterial SSU rRNA
Rfam family: Bacterial small subunit ribosomal RNA
Source: RNAcentral